Non-coding RNA from Phrynosoma platyrhinos (Desert horned lizard), 72 nucleotides. The record is from the annotation of a GenBank genome assembly. NCBI's taxonomy places the organism in Eukaryota, Metazoa, Chordata, Lepidosauria, Squamata, Phrynosomatidae.
GCCAGCGUGGCGUAGUGGUUUGAGUGUAGGACUGCAACUCUGGAGACCAGGGUUCGAUUCUUUGCAAUGGGG